Molecule: ribosomal RNA, 301 nt
Filed under: uncultured bacterium
Lineage: Bacteria
Description: partial 16S ribosomal RNA
Rfam family: Bacterial small subunit ribosomal RNA
Source: RNAcentral
CAGCCGCCGCGGGAAUACGUAGGUGGCGAGCGUUGUCCGGAAUUAUUGGGCGUAAAGGGAGCGCAGGCGGACAUAUAAGUCCAUCUUAAAAGUGCGGGGCUCAACCCCGUGAGGGGAUGGAAACUGUAUGCCUUGAGUGCAGGAGAGGAAAGCGGAAUUCCCAGUGUAGCGGUGAAAUGCGUAGAUAUUGGGAGGAACACCAGUGGCGAAAGCGGCUCUCUGGCUUGUAACUGACGCUGAGGCUCGAAAGCGUGGGGAGCAAACAGGAUUAGAUACCCCCGUAGUCCCUGUCUCUUAUACA